Molecule: unclassified non-coding RNA, 1241 nt
Filed under: Homarus americanus (American lobster)
Lineage: Eukaryota; Metazoa; Arthropoda; Malacostraca; Decapoda; Nephropidae
Description: transformer-2 protein homolog alpha-like, transcript variant X7
Source: RNAcentral
CCCUUGGAGACCCACACACGCCCAGGCCUCUUGGAAACUACUCACACACCCCCAGUAGACUCAAGUGACUGACACCUUCCAAGAUGACCCGGAAAUACACAGUCCUCUCUGUCAUCAAGAGCCCAGAGGGUGAGCGGAACAGCCUCACGCCAAGGUCUCGCUCUCGUUCAAGGUCACGACUGGAGUCGCCAGCCAAUUCGCCCCCUCAUCGCCGUGCUGCAUCACAGUCCCGCUCUCCACAGCCACGUAGACGAUCCUUUAGCAGGUCACGUUCCCGCACGCCUCGUAGGCACCGCUCUCGAAGUGGGUCGCCCCGUAAUGGUCACGAUGGAAGCCGGCGCUCACGACGUACUCGAUCCCCCAUGUCUAAUCGCCGCCGUCAUAUUGGUACUCGAGACAACCCCGAGCCUUCAAAGUGUCUUGGAGUGUUCGGUCUAAGUGUGUACACAACAGAGAGAGAGCUUCAUAGCAUCUUUGACAAGUUUGGACCACUGGAGAAAGUGCAAGUAGUGCUUGACUCAAAGACUGGAAAAUCAAGAGGAUUUGCAUUUGUGUACUUUGAGUCCAUAAAAGAUGCUGCUGAAGCCAAGGAUGAGUGUUCAGGCAUGGAGAUCGACGGACGGAGGAUCAGAGUCGACUUCUCCAUCACCAAGCGACCUCACACACCUACUCCAGGCAUUUACAUGGGUCGACCCACCACCCGAGGAGGUUAUGACAGAGGAUAUGGUGGGCGAGGUGGCGGCGGGUACAGGGGUGAUAGAUACCGUUCUCCGUCGCCACGUUACAGGCAACGUUCCAGCGGUGGCCGCCGCGACUAUUAUGACCGUGGGUAUGUACCCGGCCUGGGAGUUACUGCACAACUCAAGCCACCACCAGACAAAGUAUUCAUGUGGAGGCAAGCUAGUUAAGCAAGUGUACAGAAGCUUGUUGUAUAGGCCUCUGGGCUGAAGAUGAUGAACCACAAGUUAUUGGUGAAGGUUGUUAAGCAUUGAAUGAGAAGUAUUCAGGUUCGUUAAGAACAAGUUCCUUUGGCAGUUGACAAGUCCAACAUGAAACACAAAUAUAAUGUGAGAAACACUAAGAAUUGAGGAUUCUCUCUAGCAUGAGAUAUGACCGUGGAGAUCGCAGUUACUACAGAGGCGGCGGCGGCUACGAUCGCUACGACCGACAGCAACAUUAUGAUCGUUAUGACAGAUAUGAUCGUGCUUACGACAAGUAUGAGCGCUACGAAAGGUCCAGAU